This 258-nucleotide ribosomal RNA is filed under the name uncultured bacterium. RNAcentral's name for it is "partial 16S ribosomal RNA". It matches the Rfam family "Bacterial small subunit ribosomal RNA", at positions 793 to 1050 of the family's 1533-position model. The record is from RNAcentral.
GUCCAUGCCGUAAACGAUGUCUACUAGCCGUUGGGGCCUUUGAGGCUUUAGUGGCGCAGCUAACGCGAUAAGUAGACCGCCUGGGGAGUACGGUCGCAAGACUAAAACUCAAAUGAAUUGACGGGGGCCCGCACAAGCGGUGGAGCAUGUGGUUUAAUUCGAUGCAACGCGAAGAACCUUACCUGGCCUUGACAUAGUAGAAACUUUCCAGAGAUGGAUUGGUGCCUUCGGGAAUCUACAUACAGGUGCUGCAUGGCU